CCUACGGGCGGCUGCAGUGGGGAAUAUUGGACAAUGGGCGAAAGCCUGAUCCAGCCAUGCCGCGUGUGUGAAGAAGGCCUUCGGGUUGUAAAGCACUUUCAGUGGGGAAGAAAGCCUUGGGGCUAAUACCCUCGAGGAAGGACAUCACCCACAGAAGAAGCACCGGCUAACUCCGUGCCAGCAGCCGCGGUAAUACGGAGGGUGCGAGCGUUAAUCGGAAUUACUGGGCGUAAAGCGCGCGUAGGCGGUCUGAUAAGCCGGUUGUGAAAGCCCCGGGCUCAACCUGGGAACGGCAUCCGGAACUGUCAGGCUAGAGUGCAGGAGAGGAAGGUGGAAUUCCCGGUGUAGCGGUGAAAUGCGUAGAGAUCGGGAGGAAUACCAGUGGCGAAGGCGGCCUUCUGGACUGACACUGACGCUGAGGUGCGAAAGCGUGGGUAGCAAACAGGAUUAGAUACCCCGGUAGUC
RNAcentral lists this ribosomal RNA (465 nucleotides) under Vreelandella stevensii. Its description in RNAcentral is "partial 16S ribosomal RNA". It matches the Rfam family "Bacterial small subunit ribosomal RNA", at positions 338 to 795 of the family's 1533-position model. Lineage: Bacteria; Pseudomonadati; Pseudomonadota; Gammaproteobacteria; Oceanospirillales; Halomonadaceae. The record is from RNAcentral.